RNAcentral lists this long non-coding RNA (414 nucleotides) under Vulpes vulpes (red fox). RNAcentral's name for it is "lncRNA (ENSVVUG00000015646.1)". The record is from RNAcentral. Lineage: Eukaryota; Metazoa; Chordata; Mammalia; Carnivora; Canidae.
AACAGACUCUGGCUGCGUAGGUAAACUCUAGCAUUUCAAGGUGAGGAGCAGGGACCUAGGAAGAAGGAAUUCCCCAAUUGUCUUUCCAGGGUGCUUCUCUUGGUUAGCUGAGCUCAAACUAUUUUCUAGUUGCUACUUUUAAGAUUUAAAUUAUAGGGAGUGAGCAACUGAGUCACCUAGCCAGAAGAUAACCACUGGGAAUUAUCGGGGAACUGUCAUUCCAACCUAAGACAUCAGGAAGCUACUGCUGGAGAAGAUGGGAUGGAUAUUUGUCAGCUGAAAGAUUGCUGGGGAAUUAUGGGAAGAUGCUGCCAUAUAUGGGCCACCUACGGGGUGUGGAAGGAGUCAAAGCCAGGGGGGCCUAUUGGCAAGUCAGCCCAGAGGAACAUUUUGACCGUGAUCACUAAAAUCCCU